This 62-nucleotide microRNA precursor is filed under the name Petromyzon marinus (sea lamprey). RNAcentral's name for it is "Pma-Mir-1-o2_pre stem-loop". The record is from RNAcentral. Lineage: Eukaryota; Metazoa; Chordata; Hyperoartia; Petromyzontiformes; Petromyzontidae.
ACGUACUUCUUUAUAAAGCCACGUGCGCGAGCUGGGAUCGUGGAAUGUAAAGAAGUAUGGGU